RNAcentral lists this ribosomal RNA (483 nucleotides) under uncultured bacterium. RNAcentral describes it as "partial 16S ribosomal RNA". It matches the Rfam family "Bacterial small subunit ribosomal RNA", at positions 28 to 507 of the family's 1533-position model. The record is from RNAcentral.
GACGAACGCUGGCGGCGUGCUUAACACAUGCAAGUCGAACGCUGAAGCUCAGCUUUUGUUGGGUGGAUGAGUGGCGAACGGGUGAGUAACACGUGAGUAACCUGCCCCCUUCUUUGGGAUAACGCCCGGAAACGGGUGCUAAUACUGGAUAUUCACUGGUCUUCGCAUGGGGGUUGGUGGAAAGGGUUUUUCUGGUGGGGGAUGGGCUCGCGGCCUAUCAGCUUGUUGGUGGGGUGAUGGCCUACCAAGGCUUUGACGGGUAGCCGGCCUGAGAGGGUGACCGGUCACAUUGGGACUGAGAUACGGCCCAGACUCCUACGGGAGGCAGCAGUGGGGAAUAUUGCACAAUGGGCGCAAGCCUGAUGCAGCGACGCCGCGUGAGGGAUGGAGGCCUUCGGGUUGUGAACCCCUUUCGCUAAUGGUCAAGCCGCAACAAUGGUUGUGGUGAGGGUAGUGGGUAAAGAAGCGCCGGCUAACUACGUG